AUUCGCAAAGGAAAUGGUGUUCUUCCUUACCCAACCGCUUUUUCAAAAAGCUGAUGACGCCUGAUUAAUG
This 70-nucleotide non-coding RNA is filed under the name Epilithonimonas bovis. Its description in RNAcentral is "Chryseobacterium bovis Fluoride sequence". It matches the Rfam family "Fluoride riboswitch aptamer (crcB RNA motif)". The record is from RNAcentral. Lineage: Bacteria; Pseudomonadati; Bacteroidota; Flavobacteriia; Flavobacteriales; Weeksellaceae.